RNAcentral lists this ribosomal RNA (160 nucleotides) under Typhula ishikariensis. RNAcentral's name for it is "5.8S ribosomal RNA". It matches the Rfam family "5.8S ribosomal RNA". Rfam says of the family: 5.8S ribosomal RNA (5.8S rRNA) is a component of the large subunit of the eukaryotic ribosome. It is transcribed by RNA polymerase I as part of the 45S precursor that also contains 18S and 28S rRNA. Functionally, it is thought that 5.8S rRNA may be involved in ribosome translocation. Lineage: Eukaryota; Fungi; Basidiomycota; Agaricomycetes; Agaricales; Typhulaceae. The record is from RNAcentral.
ACUUUUAACAACCGGAUCUCUUGGCUCUUGCAUCGAUGAAGAACGCAGCGAAAUGCGAUAAGUAAUGUGAAUUGCAGAAUCCAGUGAAUCAUCGAAUCUUUGAACGGCACCUUGCGGUUCCUUGGUAUUCCGGGAAGCAUGCCUGUUUAAGUGGUCAUUA